Molecule: long non-coding RNA, 1243 nt
Organism: Scophthalmus maximus (turbot)
Lineage: Eukaryota; Metazoa; Chordata; Actinopteri; Pleuronectiformes; Scophthalmidae
Exons: 3
Source: RefSeq, a predicted model, not a curated record
GUCCCCCCCCCAGUGCUAUCCGUGCAUCCUUAGCGAGCGGAGACACUGAGCCCACCCGUCCUACCCCCGCUGACCCUGGGAGGAUGUCUCGGUUGGAGGAGGAGGGCCAGGGUGGUGGGCGGAGCCUGGAGGCGACGCAGCGCGGACUGGGGCUGAUGGAGGACAGCGUCUGCUGGCUGCCGUUCAGAUAGGACGAGGUGUUGGAGCCCUGAUGGCUGCGGUAGUUGUAGUACGCCUGCCAGCCCUGACGCUUCCUCUUCCAACGACAGCGGAGGAUCCGGAUGAAGGCCUGAAGACACAGAACCACACACAAGUCAGCAGUUGUUGUAGUAGUAGUAGCCUCAUCAGCAGUAGUAUCAUUAGUAUCAGUAGUAGUAGCACCUGUUUGAAGUCGCGGCUGUAGCAGGAGUAGAUGAUGGGGUUCAGGCAGCUGUUGAAAUAUCCCAACCAGAAAAUGACCUUGAAGCAGGUUUCAGGAGGACGCAGGCUGCUGUUAAAAGACCCUGAAGACACCAACAGAUAAACAACAAACAGAUAAGCGGUGCUCAGCAUCACCUUCAUAUGUUCUCUAAACAAUCUGCCUCCAAACGUUCAGACUCUUGUUUUAUGAUCUGGAAACAAUCAAAGUUUAAUGCGUUGAAACUUUCAGUUUCAGCUGCAGCUCAGACUUUCACCACCGAGGGGCAGCGUUGGCCACAACGCCACAGGAGCUGCGACCACUUCUGUGACGGACAGCACUUGAAGCAUCAUCAUCAUCAUCCUCAUCCUCAUCCUCAUCAUCAUCAUCCUCAUCCUCAUCAUCAUCAUCAUCAUCCUCAUCAUCAUCAUCACACAGCAGGUGAUCUGCAGCAUGUCGGAGGAUCUCGGAGGAUUUGCUGGAUCAGGUGUUUGAUGUUCUUCAGAUAACACGGGCUGCUGAGCAGAAAGGAUUAUUUUCCCCCUGAACAUGGACUUGUAAGGUGAUCGUGCCCUCACGCUGCCGUCUCUGACUAUAUAUGAGGAAUUUCGCAGUGAAACCUGACGUCCGUCGUGGGAGAAAACAUGUGACACAAUCUCCGGAAUGAAAUGAAACUCGACUCGGCGUGAAGGCGAACACGUACCGAUGGGCAGGACCAGGAAGAAGGGCAGCCAGCAGAGGAUGAACAUGCCCACCACCACGCCCAGCGUCUUGGCCGCCUUCUUCUCCCUGGAGAACUUGAGCAGUUUGACGGACAGCGUGCUGCGCCCGGCCGAGGCCCCGGGG